Molecule: ribosomal RNA, 324 nt
Filed under: Triticum aestivum (bread wheat)
Lineage: Eukaryota; Viridiplantae; Streptophyta; Magnoliopsida; Poales; Poaceae
Description: partial small subunit ribosomal RNA
Source: RNAcentral
AUGCCGACGGCCCCUGAGGGCGGCCGCGCCGCCGCGCCGCGCGUGGAGCUAGAGCUCCCGCUCGGCGCGGUGCCGUUCGACUUGGAGGCGGCCAUGUGCAGCCACGGGCUGUUCAUGGGGUCUCCUGCCUUGCCAUGGGGUCACCUCGGGCUCGAUAGAGCUGCACUCUCACGGGGGAGGGGCUGGGGUGGAUUGGACAUACCAGCGCGUGAAGACGAUUUGACAGCCGACGACGAGCUUGAGAGACUCGUCAUCGUCAAACAUCCAGGCAACAUCAUAGUUGUGAGCCGCGAGCUGCUCUUCCACGCCAUCUCCCACGCAUAG